UCGCGCUACUUUUUUGAGGUGGGCACCUGGGAUGGAGGCAAGGAAUCACGAAGUGGCGUCUCCUCGGAAGGGGCAGCCUGAUGUCUUUAACCACUGAACUGUGGUUUCCAACUGGAUGCGCUUUGGGUUCAGGGCUAAGACACGCGUAGGCGGUGCAGACAGUUCAAUUCGUGGGCGGCUUUUUCUCUCCCCUGCGCGGUUUUGCAGAACUGAGGAUUCACGUUUGCCACGCAGUCUCUAAAGCCUCCUCCCAGCCCUCGCCGGAUUUCUGCAUCGGAAUUGGAUUGGAUCACACACAAAAGAAGAGCCCAGGAACUCGUUCACCACCUUGCACCUUGCCUGUUAGUUCACGGCAUAAUGGUAACAGAGUCUUCAUUAAUGGAAGCAACGUUACUACCGUGAGCCCGGA
RNAcentral lists this long non-coding RNA (409 nucleotides) under Homo sapiens (human). RNAcentral's name for it is "HSALNT0175584". The record is from RNAcentral. Lineage: Eukaryota; Metazoa; Chordata; Mammalia; Primates; Hominidae.